Molecule: ribosomal RNA, 483 nt
Filed under: uncultured bacterium
Lineage: Bacteria
Description: partial 16S ribosomal RNA
Rfam family: Bacterial small subunit ribosomal RNA
Source: RNAcentral
GACGAACGCUGGCGGCGUGCUUAACACAUGCAAGUCGAACGCUGAAGCUCAGCUUUUGUUGGGUGGAUGAGUGGCGAACGGGUGUGUAACACGUGAGUAACCUGCCCCCUUCUUUGGGAUAACGCCCGGAAACGGGUGCUAAUACUGGAUAUUCACUGGUCUUCGCAUGGGGGCUGGUGGAAAGGGUUUUUCUGGUGGGGGAUGGGCUCGCGGCCUAUCAGCUUGUUGGUGGGGUGAUGGCGUACCAAGGCUUUGACGGGUAGCCGGCCUGAGAGGGUGACCGGUCACAUUGGGACUGAGAUGCGUCCCAGGCUCGUACGGGAGGCAGAAGUGGGGAAUAUUGCACAAUGGGCGCAAGCCUGGUGCAGCGACGCCGCGGAAGGGAUGGAGACCUUCGGGUUGUGAAACUCUGUCGCUCAUGGUCAAGCCGCAACAAUGGUUGUGGUGAGGGUAGUGGGUAAAGAAGCGCCGGCUAACUACGUG